Molecule: ribosomal RNA, 755 nt
Filed under: Pseudomonas sp. LS95
Lineage: Bacteria; Pseudomonadati; Pseudomonadota; Gammaproteobacteria; Pseudomonadales; Pseudomonadaceae
Description: bacterial SSU rRNA
Rfam family: Bacterial small subunit ribosomal RNA
Source: RNAcentral
GCGAGUCGAGCGGCAGCACGGGUACUUGUACCUGGUGGCGAGCGGCGGACGGGUGAGUAAUGCCUAGGAAUCUGCCUGGUAGUGGGGGAUAACGCUCGGAAACGGACGCUAAUACCGCAUACGUCCUACGGGAGAAAGCAGGGGACCUUCGGGCCUUGCGCUAUCAGAUGAGCCUAGGUCGGAUUAGCUAGUUGGUGAGGUAAUGGCUCACCAAGGCGACGAUCCGUAACUGGUCUGAGAGGAUGAUCAGUCACACUGGAACUGAGACACGGUCCAGACUCCUACGGGAGGCAGCAGUGGGGAAUAUUGGACAAUGGGCGAAAGCCUGAUCCAGCCAUGCCGCGUGUGUGAAGAAGGUCUUCGGAUUGUAAAGCACUUUAAGUUGGGAGGAAGGGCAUUUACCUAAUACGUAAGUGUUUUGACGUUACCGACAGAAUAAGCACCGGCUAACUCUGUGCCAGCAGCCGCGGUAAUACAGAGGGUGCAAGCGUUAAUCGGAAUUACUGGGCGUAAAGCGCGCGUAGGUGGUUUGUUAAGUUGGAUGUGAAAUCCCCGGUCUCAACCUGGGAACUGCAUCCAAAACUGGCAAGCUAGAGUAUGGUAGAGGGUGGUGGAAUUUCCUGUGUAGCGGUGAAAUGCGUAGAUAUAGUAAGGAACACCAGUGACGAAGGCGACCACCUGGACUGAUACUGACACUGAGGUGCGAAAGCGUGGGGAGCAAACGGAUUAGAUACCCUGGUAGUCACGCCGUAUAC